This 498-nucleotide long non-coding RNA is filed under the name Oryctolagus cuniculus (rabbit). Its description in RNAcentral is "lncRNA (ENSOCUG00000030436.1)". Lineage: Eukaryota; Metazoa; Chordata; Mammalia; Lagomorpha; Leporidae. The record is from RNAcentral.
AUGGCCACAAAGCCCAGAGCUGAGCAGAUCCAAAGCCAGGAGCCAGGAGCUUCUUCCUGGUCUCCCAUGCAGGUGCAGGGCCCAAGGACUUGGGCCGUCCUCCACUGCUUUCCCAGGCCACAGCAGAGAGCUGGAUGGAAAUGGAGCAGCCGGGACUGGAACCCAUAUGAGAUGCCGGCACCGCAGGAGACAGCUUCACCCGCUAUGCCACAACGCCGGCCCCUUGAGCAGCUUUGUGCUGUUUCUCCUGGGUCCCGUCCUGCCAGGUUUCUGGUUACAAGGGCAGGCUUUGGAGCUGGCCAGCCUGACUUCUGUCCCAGCUUGGCUUCCUUCAGGUGGCCUUGAUGACAGCUGGCAGAGGGGACUGUUGAGGUGAGUCCUCCAGCAAGGAUCACAGGAGGAGACAGACAGCCCCAUCCAGGGAACGGAGACACAACUUUCGUGGGAAAUUCACAGAUACGUGUUUUUUUAAUAUUUUAUUUAAUUAAUUAAUUAAUU